GUCUGUCAUCCCUUCUGGCAGCACAUAUACUAAAAUUGGAACGCUACACAGAAGAUUAGCAUGGUCCCUGCACAAAGAUGACACACAAAGUCGUGAAGCGUUUUAUCCUUUC
RNAcentral lists this small nuclear RNA (112 nucleotides) under Chelydra serpentina (North American snapping turtle). Lineage: Eukaryota; Metazoa; Chordata; Testudines; Chelydridae. The record is from RNAcentral.